GACGAACGCUAGCGGCGCGCUUAACACAUGCAAGUCGAGCGGAAAGGCCCUUCGGGGUACUCGAGCGGCGAACGGGUGAGUAACACGUGAGCAACCUACCCUUGGCUUUGGGAUAACCCCGGGAAACCGGGGCUAAUACCGAAUACCCACGCACUGCCGCAUGACGGUGCGUGAAAAGUUUUUCGGCUGGGGAUGGGCUCGCGGCCUAUCAGCUUGUUGGUGAGGUAACGGCCCACCAAGGCUUCGACGGGUAGCCGGCCUGAGAGGGCG
This 270-nucleotide ribosomal RNA is filed under the name uncultured bacterium. Its description in RNAcentral is "partial 16S ribosomal RNA". It matches the Rfam family "Bacterial small subunit ribosomal RNA", at positions 28 to 302 of the family's 1533-position model. The record is from RNAcentral.